UACGUAGGGGGCGAGCGUUGUCCGGAAUCACUGGGCGUAAAGGGCGCGUAGGCGGUAUAUUAAGUCAGGUGUGAAAGUUUUCGGCUCAACCGGAAAAGUGCACUUGAAACUAAUAGACUUGAGUACUGGAGAGGUAAGCGGAAUUCCUAGUGUAGCGGUGAAAUGCGUAGAUAUUAGGAGGAACACCGGUGGCGAAGGCGGCUUACUGGACAGAGACUGACGCUGAGGCGCGAAAGCGUGGGGAGCAAACAGGAUUAGAUACCCUGGUAGUCCACGCCGUAAACGAUGAGUAUUAGGUGUUGGUGAGAAUCAGUGCCGGAGUUAACACAAUAAAUACUCCGCCUGGGGAGUACGGUCGCAAGACUGAAACUCAAAGAAAUUGACGG
Molecule: ribosomal RNA, 386 nt
Filed under: uncultured sludge bacterium
Lineage: Bacteria
Description: bacterial SSU rRNA
Rfam family: Bacterial small subunit ribosomal RNA
Source: RNAcentral